Molecule: ribosomal RNA, 253 nt
Filed under: uncultured bacterium
Lineage: Bacteria
Description: partial 16S ribosomal RNA
Rfam family: Bacterial small subunit ribosomal RNA
Source: RNAcentral
UACAGAGGGUGCAAGCGUUGCUCGGAUUUACUGGGCGUAAAGCGUACGCAGACGGUGAGAAAGGUCGGAUGUGAAAGCCCCGGGCUCAACCCUGGAACUGCAUCCGAAACCAUCUCGCUAGAGUAUGAGAGAGGGAAGCAGAAUUCCUGGUGUAGAGGUGAAAUUCGUAGAUAUCAGGAGGAAUACCUGCGGCGAAGGCGGCUUCCUGGCUCAUUACUGACGUUCAGGUACGAAAGCGUGGGUAGCAAACAGG